CUGCCUGUUUAUUCUGACCUGGUACCUGCUCUUUUUUUUAAUUCCUCGUAGAAGGUACAGGCUGAGCUGUCUGCAAUCUGCUCUGGGUGUGAAGGAAUGACUGUGUGCAUAGCUCUGCCUGCACAGGAUAAAUAAUGAGAAUUAGCAGGAGACACUGGAGAGGGUUUCAGCACCAUAGGGGUCAAUGGGAUGAGGGGACAGCGACUAAUGAUGCUCUAGCACCAUCUGUCCUGGCCUCAUCCCCGGCGCGUGCAGCUCCCGUGUUAUGCCACCUGCUGGCCACU
Pelobates cultripes (western spadefoot toad) is the source of this 284-nucleotide non-coding RNA. The record is from the annotation of a GenBank genome assembly. Lineage: Eukaryota; Metazoa; Chordata; Amphibia; Anura; Pelobatidae.